Molecule: ribosomal RNA, 253 nt
Filed under: uncultured bacterium
Lineage: Bacteria
Description: partial 16S ribosomal RNA
Rfam family: Bacterial small subunit ribosomal RNA
Source: RNAcentral
UACGAAGGGGGCUAGCGUUGCUCGGAAUCACUGGGCGUAAAGGGUGCGUAGGCGGGUCUUUAAGUCCGGGGUGAAAUCCUGGAGCUCAACUCCAGAACUGCCUUUGAUACUGAAGAUCUUGAGUUCGGGAGAGGUGAGUGGAACUGCGAGUGUAGAGGUGAAAUUCGUAGAUAUUCGCAAGAACACCAGUGGCGAAGGCGGCUCACUGGCCCGAUACUGACGCUGAGGCGCGAAAGCGUGGGGAGCAAACAGG